GCAACAGCAGCAGCUGGGAGGCUGGGUGUGGGACAGGAACCGCUGCAGCAGCUCUGCACUGUUAUGGAAGGGAAGAGUCUCCAGGCCCACUGACUCAGUCACUCUUCUUUUUGUGGAUGAACCUGCUUCUUUCCUUGACUGGAAGAUAGGAUCGCUCAAGAGGGUGACUAGAGACUGUGUUACGAUAGAACUGCAGUUCUAUUUUGCUACUCCCAAAAAGCCUCAGGUUUCCUUGUGGUUUGUUUCCCACUCUGCAAUUUGUUGCUGCUUCACAUCCAAUUCUGCCACCCAACUGCAAAUAGGCCGAGCAGACAAGGCUCUGUCUGUGCACUCUGCAUGUAGGUGGUACAUGUACAUACCAGAGGAGAG
Long non-coding RNA from Chelonia mydas (Green sea turtle), 369 nucleotides. RefSeq lists it as uncharacterized. The transcript is spliced from 2 exons. The record is from RefSeq and is a predicted model, not a curated record. Lineage: Eukaryota; Metazoa; Chordata; Testudines; Cheloniidae.